Molecule: signal recognition particle RNA, 314 nt
Filed under: Methanothermococcus okinawensis
Lineage: Archaea; Methanobacteriati; Methanobacteriota; Methanococci; Methanococcales; Methanococcaceae
Description: signal recognition particle sRNA
Rfam family: Archaeal signal recognition particle RNA
Source: RNAcentral
UCUGUGGCUAGGCCGGGGGGUUAGGCGUCCCCUGUAACCCGAAAUCGCCUUAUGCGGGGGCCGAAAACUUGGGGGCGGCAUGGAUCUUUUCUAUCCAUCCCCAAGUCCUAUGAUGAUAUUUCGUCCUGUGGGGUAAGACGGUGGAGGGGCCUACUUCGGAGGAAGUAGGUAACCUCCUUUACCUACCGAACCCCGUCAGGCCCGGAAGGGAGCAGCGGUAGGUAGGACGUCGACGCUCACAGGGGAGCGGAAUGGAGUAGGACUUGGGGGCAAUGGGUAGAAGAGAUCCAUGUCCACCCCAAGGAAGCCACACC